CGCGAAUGUCCCUCUUGGAGUCCCCGGCAGGACUCCAGCCAGAACUGAGGCACUAGCAGGUGUGUAAAGCUGGUCAUGAUUCAGCACUGCUGGAUUCAAUUCAAGCCCAGUAAUAGAAGAGCCUCCCUGAGCUUGUGGUAGCCAUACCUGCCAAUCAUCUUCCCAAGGGCUGAGACUCCAGAGUGAGUCCUCAAGGACUUCUUUCAGGACUCACAGAAACCUCCACCCUGGUGAUGACACACAGGGACUGUUUUCUUGUUCUUAGUCUGAACGACUGCCAAGAAGGAGGGCAACAGUAGAACAGUCAAAUCCCAGGCUCUCCCCAUAGCUUCUAAUCUCAGACCUUGUUAAACUCCUUUCUGAGCCCAAGGACAAAAGUCACUUGAACAAAUGAGUUUGAGUCAUGAAUGAAAACUCUCACUCUUUCCACGAGAAAGAAUUAAGAGAUGGACAGGUUGGAAGUGUGUCUGCUGGGUGCGCUCCACCACCUGACAAGGACGGCAGUGCUGUUCUGGCUUUCAGAGGAGUUUCUAUCUCAGAGCUGAAGAACCACAGCGUCCUCCAGGCCCUGACAGCAGAGGCGAACGGCUGGGAGCCCGGUGUUGUGAGUACAGAAGUCCUCCAAGCCCAAGAAGAAUGGGAAGCUGUGGACAGCAUCCACCUGGAGACAGGGAGCCGGGCCAGCAUGGACCAGCCUGGGCAGCUCAUCUCCUUCAGUGAGGCCCUGCAGCAUUUCCAGACAGUGGACCUCUCCUCCUUCAAGAAAAGAAUCCAGCCCACCAUCCGAAGGACUGGGCUCGCUGCCCUCCGGCACUGCCUCUUCGGGCCUCCGAAGCUCCACCAGGGCCUCCGUGAAGAAAGGGACUUGGUCUUGACCAUCGCUCAGUGUGGCCUGGAUAGCCAAGAUCCCAUGCAUGGCCGAGUCCUCCAGACCAUCUAUAAGAAGCUGACUGGCUCCAAGUUUGACUGUGCCCUCCAUGGAGACCACUGGGAAGAUCUGGGCUUUCAGGGAACAAAUCCAGCCACAGACCUCAGAGGAGCAGGCUUCCUUGCCCUCCUGCAUCUCCUGUACCUGGUGAUGGACUCAAAGACUUUGCUGAUGGCCCGGGAGAUUCUCCGCCUGUCUCGUCAUCAUAUCCAGUGUCUUAAAACUUCACUUCAAGCCCUUAUGAAUCUUGAAAAUACAGUUUUCCAGGAGGCACGUAGGCAGCCACAGGAACAGCUCAGGGACACAGCCCUGCCAGCGGCCAGUCCUAACUUUGGACUGACUUUUGUUAGACCUUUGACUGCCAAGAGUAAAGAAAACCAGAGGCCUAAUUCAGAGGCUGAAACAACAGCUGCAAUUCCCCUUCUGUUUGAUGUCUGUGAAUAUCACGCGUAUCGCCAUCCAGGCCUUAAGGGAGGAGUGUCUCUCCAGGGAGUGUAACCGGCAGCAGAAAGUGAUACCCGUGGUGAACAGCUUCUAUGCCGCCACCUUCCUCCGCCUGGCGCACGUCUGGAGGACACAGCACAAGACCAUCUCAGACUCAGGCUUUGUCCUCAAGGAUUUGGAGGCGUCGGCCAAGAAGAGCCCCAAACGGCUGCUCAAAACCCUGGAGAUCUACUUGGCUGGAGUGUCAAAGGGACAGGCCUCCCUGUUGGGGACACAGAAGUGCUCUGGGCCACAGGCCCCUCACUCCAAGGAUCUCACUUUCACAGGCGUGUGUGACCUGUCAUCACACUCGUCCGAAGGGACGUGGCUGAUCUGACCAACCCCGGUGGCCCCUGGCGAGGAAGCCUUGGAGGGGCUUUCAGAGGGCGGAUCCUGGCUGGGCCUCGCCCCUUCCGGUCCUAGCGGCAGGAAUGUAGGACGCCCCUGGGCCUGGUGGGUGGAGCCAGGGGCCCUCACCUGCUUGAGACAUCGGGGGCCAUUAGAUUAGACUCACUCUCUGGAGCCCUGCUUUCAGGGCGAGGAGAGCUUUGCUUUAUUACUAGUUGAGCGACAGCUUCCGUAGUCGGAUUCCAGGUAGUAUCAGUGAUAGCGAAUGGAUCAUCAGGUGGGAGACCCCAUAUGCAUGUUCCACACAGUUCUCCAUCAAAGAUGCUCCCAAGUAAAAGCGCUAGAACCUGGCAGUGGGUCUUUCAGGCCCUGGAGUCCACAGGACAGGGACCAGACGGGCACUGAGUAGUUAGAAUGUGAAGGGAGAGGGUAGUCGCAGCAGCAGCCAACAGGGGGCGGUGUGAGCUAAGAGUGCAAGCCUUUUCUGGUCUGGCGCUCACCCCACCCUCAUCUCUCCCCAUCCCUCCUCCCACUGUUUGAGAUAGGGAACCAGGCUGCAGCUGGGCUUCCCUCUUGGAGGCUGCACAUGUCCCAUCAGGGCUGGUUUUCUGGCCUGGUUGAAGGAAGGAGGAAAUUCACACACCAGCAGUUUUUGAAUAAAAUAAUUCUUCUAGGUUUAGGAUCUCAAGGGUUUUCCUUCCAGACACAUUUUGCACCAUCCUGUGGCCAUUAUCCCAGGGUCCCCCUUUAGAGCCAGGCACUCUGGCCAGCUGACAGCCUGGUUGUUGUCGGCACUGGUCACAGGCCCCGGGAGAGAAGGCUACUGUGCCCUGGCCACACUCCUGCCUAUUUCACAGGCCAUCCAGCCUCAUCCUGCUGCACUUACAGACCCAGAGACCCUGCACACUGUAGCCACUGGUCGAGGUGGCCCUGGCUGUUCUUAAGGGUGGCUGUUGUGAGGCAUCCACACAGGGUUUUUCCCAUAUUUGCUUCUGGGGAAGCUACCUGUCACUUUUCACUUGCAAAGGGGCCUCCAGGGCUUUGGAGCUAGGGAACAGGGGCCAGGCGAGAGCCCCACCUGGCUUCUCUCCUAUCCUCUGACCUCCCUCAAGUAGAGUCAUGGAAGAUAGCUGUCCAGCCCCCGCGGGCAUCUCCAAGUCUGACCGGGUACAGGGGGACCCAUCACAAAGGUGAAGAUGACAGACAGCCACCCAAGCAUGGAAGGAACCCAUCAGCAGGAUGCCUCAAGGGUAGGGCUGGUAACGGAUCUGCUGUUUGCUGUUUGUCUUUGCCUGACCUGAACUAAUCCUGUGCCCUCCUCCUUCGUCCUGACCAGCAGAGAUGGCAGCAGAGAGAUUACUGGGCCUGGUGGGCUUAGAAUGUAACCCUCCCCCACCCAAUCCCAACUUUGGAGUGUCAAGUUUAGUGAUUCCUACAGAUUCCAUUCCCUUGCUCUGAGACCUGGAGGCCACCUCAACAGACUUUGACCAUUAGUGCUCAGCCCCUGGCAUGGCAGGGACCAGCCCAAGAGAGCCUCUGGCUGGAGGGGAGGCCAGUGGCCCCUGCAGAAGCCUAUUCUGUGUUACUGCCAGGGGGAUGCUCUCCAUACAGUUUAGGACUUUUAGGACCUGGAGACAUUAGGAAUAACUGUCCAGGGAUUAAGCUGCGAUUCUGCAGAUGGACAGAAUUCUGUGGUUGUGGAGGGAUGCCUAAACCCUCUGAAAAUAGAUAACAAAAAUCUUAAA
This is a non-coding RNA of Odocoileus virginianus texanus, 3504 nucleotides long. NCBI's taxonomy places the organism in Eukaryota, Metazoa, Chordata, Mammalia, Artiodactyla, Cervidae. The record is from RefSeq and is a predicted model, not a curated record.